AUUGAACGCUGGCGGCAGGCCUAACACAUGCAAGUCGAACGAGUGGCGGACGGGUGAGUAAUGUCUGGGAAACUGCCCGAUGGAGGGGGAUAACUACUGGAAACGGUAGCUAAUACCGCAUACCAUCGGAUGUGCCCAGAUGGGAUUAGCUAGUAGGUGGGGUAACGGCUCACCUAGGCGACGAUCCCUAGCUGGUCUGAGGGGAUGACCGCCAACACUGGACCUGAGACAGGGUCCAGACUCCUAGGUGGGGCAGCAGUGGGGAAUUUUGCACAAGGGGCGAAAGCCGGAUGCAGCCAUGCCGCGUGUAUGAAGAAGGCCUUGGGGUUGUAAAGUACUUUCAGCGAGGAGGCGUUACUCGCAGAAGAAGCAUCGGCUAACUCCGUGCCAGCAGCCGCGUAAUUC
Molecule: ribosomal RNA, 405 nt
Filed under: uncultured bacterium
Lineage: Bacteria
Description: partial 16S ribosomal RNA
Rfam family: Bacterial small subunit ribosomal RNA
Source: RNAcentral